RNA transcript from Eurytemora carolleeae, 1024 nucleotides. RefSeq lists it as uncharacterized. NCBI's taxonomy places the organism in Eukaryota, Metazoa, Arthropoda, Copepoda, Calanoida, Temoridae. The transcript is spliced from 7 exons. The record is from RefSeq and is a predicted model, not a curated record.
AAAACUAAAUCAUUUGUUGAGAUAUUUAGCCAGAGCUUCAAUAGAUAAAAAGCAUAAUAUACUUGCAUCCGACUUGCAGCCACAUAGAUAAGGCAUUAUCUUAGCUGUGUGUAUUCCUGUAUCAAUUCAAAUCCCAUCUGAAUGUGCCCCUGGAAGUUGUACUCUUGAAUCUCCGUUCUUCUUUCCUACCUGUCCUUCUAUAUGCACAAAUGAGCCCACUAUAGUUUGCACCCAGACAAACAAGGAAUUACCUACAUGCACUGGAAACUCAGUUUACAGAACACUUUCUUCUUUGAGUGCAGAACAAGAUUGCCAAGACUUGUGGAUUAGAAAACAGAAAGAUUAUGAAGCAUAUUCUUAUUCAACAUUUUAUAAUCCCCUGAGACAGUUAAUGACUUAUAACUGUAUGCUUUAUCAAAACUGUGAGCUUGAGAAUGAGAAUUUGAAUCCUCCAAUGCUUGGCAAACUUACUGGACGACGAAAAUGUGUUCCACAGCCAAAGUGUGAAUUGCUGAGCUUAAAAGAGGGUCCUUUAGUAUCACAUUGGUCAACUUGCCUACCUAUAGUUGAUGUGUACUCUGAACAAGCAGAUCAUGGAACAAUUUGCUUCCGUUCUUUUCAAUGUGCAGAAGAAGAAAUGCUCAGGAAAGAAAUGCUGACCUGUGAGCAAGGGACCUGGACAAUAAAUAACUUACCAAUCAACCCAGACGAAGCAGAUAAAGACUGCAAAUGCCCAAACCUGAAAGUGUCUGCUCAGCCUGGGACUAAUCUAGCAUGCACUACUCCUGUCAAUAAAACCACUUUUGAUGAGGGUGGGAGAGAAUACUAUAUCCUCGGUGAAGAUGGCACUCAGAACACAUGUAUCCUUUUUUGUGAUAGUAAUUUCUAUGGAUCCCUUUCUUGCUCUGCCAAAGAUGGUAGACUUGGCUGGUGGCUAAAUGAUGACAACCCAGUCUCUGAUAGCAUAAGCUGCAAUAAUGGCUUUAAUGUAUUUAAAUAAAAAUAAUAAAAGUAGAGAAUUUUU